UUCAUUGCUUCAUUCUUUCAUUGCUUUGCUGUGCAUUCUGUCCAAUUCUUUGUUCAAAAUGCCAAGAACCUGGACAAUUUGCAGUCAAGACCCUCCACCGGGAUAUGAACUUCCAAUUAUAUCAUUGGACUUGACUACUCCAUUUCUUUCCACAUUUAAAAAUCAAUCAGGGAGAAGCUAUUUUGAGAACUUAACACAGUAUUUAACAUGGGAUUUCUGAAUGAAGACAGUUUAUGGAUGAAUAAGGCAAAGGAGUUACUGAAUGUCUGGACUUCAGCGAAUUAAGACACUGAGACUUUCUCGCUAUUGAAGCUACCUUGAAACAAUAAACACUAAAUACCUAGUUGGUUUGCCAAAAGCAUAAAAUGUUACUUUUCGUAUUUGAUUUUCUUUCCCAAAUCUAUAAUAUAAUCCAGAAUUUGUACACAUAUUUUUUUCC
RNAcentral lists this long non-coding RNA (439 nucleotides) under Homo sapiens (human). Its description in RNAcentral is "HSALNT0301960". Lineage: Eukaryota; Metazoa; Chordata; Mammalia; Primates; Hominidae. The record is from RNAcentral.